RNAcentral lists this ribosomal RNA (428 nucleotides) under uncultured bacterium. Its description in RNAcentral is "bacterial SSU rRNA". It matches the Rfam family "Bacterial small subunit ribosomal RNA", at positions 355 to 776 of the family's 1533-position model. The record is from RNAcentral.
UCGAGAAUCUUUAGCAAUGGGCGAAAGCCUGACUAUGCGACACCGCGUGAGGGACGAAGGUCUUCGGAUCGUAAACCUCUUUUAGCAGGGAAGAAAAUACUUAACUAAAUAUGUUAAGGACUGACGGUACCUGCAGAAUAAGCAACGGCUAACUCCGUGCCAGCAGCCGCGGUAAUACGGGGGUUGCAAGCGUUACUCGGAUUCAUUGGGUGUAAAGGGCAAGUAGGUGGUUCGACAAGUGAGGGGUGAAAUCCCGCUACUCAAUAGCGGAACUGCCUUUCAAACUAUCGGGCUUGAGGUUGGGAGAAGAGAAUGGAAUUCCCGGUGUAAGGGUGAAAUCUGUUGAUAUCGGGAAGAACACCAGUGGCGAAAGCGAUUCUCUAGACCAAUCCUGACACUGAAUUGCGAAAGCUAGGGGAGCAAACAGG